CCGUCGUCAGUUCGUACUGUGAAGCAUCCUGUUAAGUCAGGCAACGAGCGAGACCCGUGCCCACUGUUGCCAGCAUGCCUUCGGGAUGAUGGGGUACUCUGUGGGGACCGCCGAUGCUAAAUCGGAGGAAGGUGCGGGCUACGGUAGGUCAGUAUGCCCCGAAUCUCCCGGGCUACACGCGGGCUACAAUGACUGGGACAAUGGGCUCCUACCCCGAAAGGGGAUGGUAAUCUCAUAAACCCAGCCUUAGUUCGGAUCGAGGGCUGUAACCCGCCCUCGUGAAGCUGGAAUCCGUAGUAAUCGCGUUUCAACAUAGCGCGGUGAAUACGUCCCUGCUCCUU
Molecule: ribosomal RNA, 341 nt
Filed under: uncultured Methanomethylovorans sp.
Lineage: Archaea; Methanobacteriati; Methanobacteriota; Methanomicrobia; Methanosarcinales; Methanosarcinaceae
Description: bacterial SSU rRNA
Rfam family: Archaeal small subunit ribosomal RNA
Source: RNAcentral